Molecule: ribosomal RNA, 837 nt
Filed under: uncultured bacterium
Lineage: Bacteria
Description: bacterial SSU rRNA
Rfam family: Bacterial small subunit ribosomal RNA
Source: RNAcentral
AAGCCGAUGGCGGAGGCCUAACACAUGCAGUCGAGCGCGCCCUUCGGGGUGAGCGGCGGACGGGUUAGUAACGCGUGGGAACGUGCCCUUUGGUACGGAAUAGCCUCUGGAAACGGAGAGUAAUACCGUAUGAGCCCUUCGGGGGAAAGAUUUAUCGCCAAAGGAUCGGCCCGCGUUAGAUUAGGUAGUUGGUGGGGUAAUGGCCUACCAAGCCUACGAUCUAUAGCUGGUUUUAGAGGAUGAUCAGCAACACUGGGACUGAGACACGGCCCAGACUCCUACGGGAGGCAGCAGUGGGGAAUCUUGGACAAUGGGGGCAACCCUGAUCCAGCCAUGCCGCGUGAGUGAUGAAGGCCUUAGGGUCGUAAAGCUCUUUCGCCUGUGAAGAUAAUGACGGUAGCAGGUAAAGAAACCCCGGCUAACUCCGUGCCAGCAGCCGCGGUAAUACGGAGGGGGUUAGCGUUGUUCGGAAUUACUGGGCGUAAAGCGCACGUAGGCGGACCAAAAAGUUGGGGGUGAAAUCCCGGGGCUCAACCCCGGAACUGCCUCCGAUACUGUUGGUCUAGAGUUCGAGAGAGGUGAGUGGAAGUCCGAGUGUAGAGGUGAAAUUCGUACAUAUACGCAGGAACGCCGCUGCCGAAGCGGUUCACUCGCUCUCUACUGACACUGAGGUGCGAGCGUGUGGAGAGCAUGCUCUAAUUAUAUAACCUGGUGAGUGCGCAAUGCCGACUAUGAGUGCUAAUCUUCGGGUAGCCUGCUAUUAUCGCGAUUACCUUAUGCGAUUAAGCUGUCACACUGUGACUAUCAUCUGCUCAUGAGUGCUCAGCUGACUGAGGA